GCAUCCGUAGCUCAGCUGGAUAGAGUACAUCGGCUACGAACCGAGCGGUCGGAGGUUCGAAUCCUCCCGGAUGCACCA
RNAcentral lists this transfer RNA (78 nucleotides) under Klebsiella sp. NCTC 9187. RNAcentral's name for it is "Raoultella sp. NCTC 9187 tRNA-Arg(acg)". It matches the Rfam family "tRNA". Rfam says of the family: Transfer RNA (tRNA) molecules are approximately 80 nucleotides in length. Their secondary structure includes four short double-helical elements and three loops (D, anti-codon, and T loops). Further hydrogen bonds mediate the characteristic L-shaped molecular structure. tRNAs have two regions of fundamental functional importance: the anti-codon, which is responsible for specific mRNA codon recognition, and the 3' end, to which the tRNAs corresponding amino acid is attached (by aminoacyl-tRNA synthetases). tRNAs cope with the degeneracy of the genetic code in two manners: having more than one tRNA (with a specific anti-codon) for a particular amino acid; and 'wobble' base-pairing, i.e. permitting non-standard base-pairing at the 3rd anti-codon position. Lineage: Bacteria; Pseudomonadati; Pseudomonadota; Gammaproteobacteria; Enterobacterales; Enterobacteriaceae. The record is from RNAcentral.